CUACGGGGGGCAGCAGUGAGGAAUUUUGCGCAAUGGGGGGAACCCUGACGCAGCAACGCCGCGUGAGUGAUGAAGGCUUUCGGGUCGUAAAGCUCUGUCAAGUGGGAAGAACCUAUGCAGUGUUAAUAUCACUGUAUACUGACGGUACCACUGAAGGAAGCACCGGCUAACUCCGUGCCAGCAGCCGCGGUAAUACGGGGGGUGCAGGCGUUAUUCUGAAUCAUUGGGCGUAAAGGGCACGUAGGCGGCUUGGUAAGUCAGAUGUGAAAGCCCGGGGCUUAACCCCGGAAGUGCAUUUGAUACUGUCAGGCUUGAGUAUGGGAGAGGGAAGUGGAAUUCCUGGUGUAGAGGUGAAAUUCGUAGAUAUCAGGAGGAACACCGGUGGCGAAGGCGACUUCCUGGACCAAUACUGACGCUGAGGUGCGAAGGCGUGGGUAGCAAACAGGAUUAGAUACCCGAGUAGUC
This 465-nucleotide ribosomal RNA is filed under the name uncultured bacterium. RNAcentral describes it as "partial 16S ribosomal RNA". It matches the Rfam family "Bacterial small subunit ribosomal RNA", at positions 339 to 795 of the family's 1533-position model. The record is from RNAcentral.